GGGGCUUCUGGGAUGCUUCUUUACUUUGCGUAAUGUGUGCGUUUUCAAUUAAAAGUGUACGUUGAUUUUUGUAAUCAGAUUUAAAACGAAACGAAGAAAAGUCUAAAAGCAGAAGAAAAAGAGAAGCAACAACUCGCAGGCCAUCUGCUCACAGGCGUUUUCGGUGGUGAGCACCUGUGAGCCGGUGUCCCUGCCCUUACUUGGGCACACAGACUGGGUGUGGAAGGACACUGGUGCCAGUUGGGCACACAGACUGGGUGUGGAAGGACACUGGUGCCAGUUGGGCACACAGACUGGGUGUGGAAGGACACUGGUGCCAGUUGGGCACACAGACUGGGUGUGGAAGGACACUGGUGCCAGUGUGGCCCCCAGGACAUUGACGACGGGUGCUGUGAGGGUGGCAGGCCACAUGGGGCAGGGCGGUGCCAGCUCUUUCCUCCACGUGCGGCUUUGGGAAGCGGCUGCCUGGUGGACUUGGUGAAUGUGAUUUCUGUUCCUUCCAGGUCCUUCUAUGGCCACGGAAGAGUGGGUGAGGGGAACACCUCUGGCUCCAACAUUACUUGUUGGUUUUUUCUUCACACAAAUGAAAAAUUCAGCAUCUCAUUUAACUUAAAUACCAGUUUUCUAUGAAAGACAAAAUGAAAAAAUAUAUAAAAAGGUCACUUUAUUUUGCCUUUUGUUUGGUAUGCUAUCAAUGCCCUUUAAAAUCCUACUAUUCAAGUACAAAUGCUGAUGUUUACAAAGUAUUUACAAUUUUAGUCUUGUUCCUUUCUAUCUUAAAACACAACAGCUAACUGGUUACAACAGUUAACAAAAUAAUAAUAAUAAAGAACUAAACUCUGGCAGACACUGUGGAAGCCCACGCCUUAUCUUUAGAAAGUCCAUUGUAUGCUCCUCACACACGGCAGACGGCUUCUGUGGCGUGCAAAGCACUACAUGCUCACAAAGAAAUUCUAAAUGGCUUUCAGAACACAGUACUAUGGCUCUAGGGGACGGGUGCGGGUGGGGACUGAAAGGUGAAAUGAUUUAGAGGAAGCCAUGUUGUCACUUUUUCCAUGAGCCACGUAGUACAGAGAACGCGGCACUCCAUAAGGACCAUUUGUCCUGCAGUGUGGGAUGCAUUUUAAUAAAAUGAUUACACUAUUUUGUUUCAAUUAUAUCUUUCCCAGUGCUGAAUCUCUUGCGUGACAUGGUCCCAAGGUUCACUAAUAAAGCGUUUUCUGUGAGGAAGGUAGUUUUGCUUUAGAUGAGAGGCAGCCCUGCUGCCCUGACUACUGGCACGGAGGCUUAGUAGGUGUCUUUAGCCUGAC
This 1310-nucleotide long non-coding RNA is filed under the name Homo sapiens (human). Its description in RNAcentral is "HSALNT0197716". The record is from RNAcentral. Lineage: Eukaryota; Metazoa; Chordata; Mammalia; Primates; Hominidae.